GUGGGGAAUAUUGGACAAUGGGCGAAAGCCUGAUCCAGCCAUGCCGCGUGUGUGAAGAAGGUCUUCGGAUUGUAAAGCACUUUAAGUUGGGAGGAAGGGCAGUAAGUUAAUACCUUGCUGUUUUGACGUUACCAACAGAAUAAGCACCGGCUAACUUCGUGCCAGCAGCCGCGGUAAUACGCAGGGUGCAAGCGUUAAUCGGAAUUACUGGGCGUAAAGCGCGCGUAGGUGGUUUUGUAAGUUGGAGGUGAAAUCCCCGGGCUCAACCUGGGAACGGCCUCCAAAACUGCAUGACUAGAGUACGGUAGAGGGUAGUGGAAUUUCCUGUGUAGCGGUGAAAUGCGUAGAUAUAGGAAGGAACACCAGUGGCGAAGGCGACUACCUGGACUGAUACUGACACUGAGGUGCGAAAGCGUGGGGAGCAAACAGGAUUAGAUACCCCAGUAGUCC
Molecule: ribosomal RNA, 450 nt
Filed under: uncultured bacterium
Lineage: Bacteria
Description: partial 16S ribosomal RNA
Rfam family: Bacterial small subunit ribosomal RNA
Source: RNAcentral